GGAAUUUUGGGCAAUGGGCGAAAGCCUGACCCAGCAACGCCGCGUGAAGGAUGAAAUCCCUCGGGAUGUAAACUUCGCAAGAACGGGAAGAAUAAACCGGUGUUAACAUCACCGGCGAUGACGGUACGGUUUGUAAGCUCCGGCUAACUCCGUGCCAGCAGCCGCGGUAAUACGGGGGGAGCAAGCGUUGUUCGGAUUUACUGGGCGUCAAGGGCGCGUAGGCGGCCACCGCAAGUCAGUUGUGAAAUCUCUGGGCUUAACCCAGAAAGGUCAACUGAUACUGCGGGGCUAGAGUGCAGAAGGGGCAACUGGAAUUCUCGGUGUAGCGGUGAAAUGCGUAGAUAUCGAGAGGAACACCUGCGGCGAAGGCGGGUUGCUGGGCUGACACUGACGCUGAGGCGCGAAAGCUAGGGGAGCGAA
Molecule: ribosomal RNA, 420 nt
Filed under: uncultured bacterium
Lineage: Bacteria
Description: bacterial SSU rRNA
Rfam family: Bacterial small subunit ribosomal RNA
Source: RNAcentral